Long non-coding RNA from Vicugna pacos (alpaca), 2386 nucleotides. RefSeq lists it as uncharacterized. The record is from RefSeq and is a predicted model, not a curated record. NCBI's taxonomy places the organism in Eukaryota, Metazoa, Chordata, Mammalia, Artiodactyla, Camelidae.
GCGGAACCUCGCCGCGCUAGUGUAGCCGGUGCGCUCCUUCCGGCGGGCGGAUCCCGGCACCACCUUGGGGUCCGGCGCGCGGCCUCGGGGCCGACGGACACGGCUUCGUGGGGUGGUGGAGCGGACCCGGGCGGUCGUGGUCGGCAGGCUUCGGAAGGGCUGGGCGCCGGGGAGUCCAGGGAGGCCUCCCGGAGGAGUCGUGGUCCUGGAGAGAAGUGAUGGAGGAGGGGCCCAGGGGAAUUUUCGUAGGACGGGAAGCCUUUUUUGAAAACCUAACCCGUGUAUGGAGAAUUCAAAAGACUGCAGGAGGCGGGCAGGAACUCCAGUGGUGACCCGGGUGUGACAUCACUUGGUAUCCAUCCUUCACCCAGAAAAAGUAAGCCCGACUGCUCUACAUGCAACCUCAUCUUCCCAUCCAGGACCCUUUGAUGAUUUCUUCUGGAGCUUUGGCCAGAAGCUAAAACUGGCAGCUCCUGGACUAAUACAUUCAGCAGGCAGAUCAGAGCUGAUAUUUACCUCAUACACACCCCGCACCAUACUGAUGGUGAAAAAUAACUGAAAUACUUCAUAGUAAAUAGUAUCAUAGAAAUUGUUGUGCUCUACACUGGAAUUUGGCACAACAUUGUAAAAUGACUAUUACUCAAUAAGAAAAGUUUCAAAAAAAAAGAAAAAUUGUACAGUUACAGUUAGCUAAUAUAAAAUUUAAUGUAAACUCAUAGGUUUGUUCUGACAGUUUUAGAACAUUAGUACCGUAGAAAAUGGGCCUCCUGUUGUAGCCACAGCUGAGGAACAUUCAUGUCACAGUCUGACCUGUGUCACUGAAGGGACUGGGGCUAAGUUGCAUGUAACAACUUGCUUGUAAUAACAAAACACUACUUGCUUUAGGAGAAUCACUAGCUUAAAAUAGUUUCAUUGUUAGCUCAGUGUAAUUCUUUUGAAAUAGUAGGCGUGCAGGGUAUUUGUAUUUUAUACACUUAAGAUUUUAAUGUAAAUAUUGAAAACAAAUACCUAGAGUAAAGAGACAAAAUCUUGAUACAUCUUUAAUACCUGUAAAUAUAAUAAAUGUGAAUCUUAAUCUGCAGAAGAACAAAGAAGGAAUUAUAAGAGUAGUGAGUCCCAGUCUGGAACUUGUUUUGAUACUGUGCAAAAAUCCGCACAAAAUAAAACUUGUAUUAAAUGCAUUUUAUUACAUAAAAUCUGUAGUUUUGGAACGAAAAAUUUCUUGAUUUAUUUUUCAAACAGGAAUUUGAGUUAUUGCUAAUGACAAAUUUUGCCUGCAAAUAGUGCUCAAAAGUUAUGUUAAAAGAUCAAAGUGUUAAACAUGUAAAUUUCAUCAGGAUGCUGUUAAAAAAUUGUGGUUGUGGUUCAAGUGAGAAAAGCUGUGAUCAUCAAUGAGGAAGGAAUUUAAAACAUUUUCAUAUAUUAAACAUCUGAAAACUUAAAACUCCCCCAAAUGUCAUCAAAGUGAAGAUAAAGCAAUGAAAAGAUACAGAGGGUACUGUCGGCACUUUUAGCACUAUAUAGUUAAAUAUAAUUGAGCAUUUCCAUGAUUUACUAAAAUGUCUAAAGGAAUACUAUUGAUACGGAAAUGGGUGCUGUGGAACCCACUUUUUGUAAAACAGAUGCACCUAAUGAGAAGACAACUUUUUCAAGAAAAUAAUGCAGUGCAUUUUCAAUCAUCAAAGAAGCUUCAUUUGUCUGACAUAAAAGUAAAUGUUUUGUUUGUUUAAAUGCAGGUGUUUUUAAAGUUUGCUGAAAAUACAAAUUUCAAGAUUUUGAAAACGGUUCUUGUUGAUCUUACGGCACUGGGAGCUGCACUUAAUACAAUGUAUUGAACUUUGUUGGUGGAGAAAAAAAAUACGUAUUUUAUUGGAAAAUGUUUUAUAGAAGUGUCAUAGGAAUAUUUUACAAUUUCAAAAAGAUUGGAUUUUGUACCAAAAGUGCCAGUAUAAUGCUAGAAGGAGUCUGGAGUUUCAGCCAAAAGUUUAGGAAAAACAAUUUUGGGUAUUUUAAUUUGUCACUAAGCGAUCAAAUUAAUUCUGGAUAAAGCAAUACAAGAUUUAAGUUAAGCAAUUUUAAUAUUAAAAAUAUUAAAUAUUUAAUAUUUUCUGAAUAAAUUGUAUUUAUUACCAUGCAUCAAAUAUCAGAAAGAACUGCAAAUGAAGUAGUGAGCUCUGAGCCCUGCUGGUUAGCCGGACGUGCUAGAGCUGCAGAAGUGACUGGAAGUGGGCAGCUCCUGCAUGUUCUCUGUGCUGGGACUGAGGUGCGGGUCCUGCGUGUCUUCUGCUGGGCCUGAGGUGCGGUACCUGCCUGUUCUCUGUGCGGUAGCUAUCCAUUUGAAAAAUGUCCUUAAGAGCAUUGGCAUUAAAAGAUUUUUUAAUGGAAA